AUACCUUUCUCGGCCUUUUGGCUAAGAUCAAGUGUAGUAUCUGUUCUUAUCAGUUUAAUAUCUGAUAUGUGAGCCAUCGGCUCACACGAUAUUAACUCAAUUUUUUAAGGGGAAAGGUCCAUCAAGGUAGCUUGCUAUCUGGACCUUUGCGCGUCGCCCUGGUCUUGCACUAUUGCUUGGGCCUGGCGCACCCCAC
This is a small nuclear RNA of Nicotiana attenuata, 196 nucleotides long. It matches the Rfam family "U2 spliceosomal RNA". Rfam says of the family: U2 is a small nuclear RNA (snRNA) component of the spliceosome (involved in pre-mRNA splicing). Complementary binding between U2 snRNA (in an area lying towards the 5' end but 3' to hairpin I) and the branchpoint sequence (BPS) of the intron results the bulging out of an unpaired adenosine, on the BPS, which initiates a nucleophilic attack at the intronic 5' splice site, thus starting the first of two transesterification reactions that mediate splicing. The record is from Rfam. NCBI's taxonomy places the organism in Eukaryota, Viridiplantae, Streptophyta, Magnoliopsida, Solanales, Solanaceae.